Molecule: ribosomal RNA, 465 nt
Filed under: uncultured beta proteobacterium
Lineage: Bacteria; Pseudomonadati; Pseudomonadota; Betaproteobacteria
Description: bacterial SSU rRNA
Rfam family: Bacterial small subunit ribosomal RNA
Source: RNAcentral
GGAGGAAAGCAGGGGAUCGCAAGACCUUGCGCUUUUGGAGCGGCCGAUGUCUGAUUAGCUAGUUGGUGAGGUAAAGGCUUACCAAGGCGUCGAUCAGUAGCUGGUCUGAGAGGACGACCAGCCACACUGGGACUGAGACACGGCCCAGACUCCUACGGGAGGCAGCAGUGGGGAAUUUUGGACAAUGGGGGAAACCCUGAUCCAGCCAUGCCGCGUGAGUGAAGAAGGCCUUCGGGUUGUAAAGCUCUUUCAGCCGGAACGAAACGGUCACGGCUAAUACCUGUGACUACUGACGGUACCGGAAGAAGAAGCACCGGCUAACUACGUGCCAGCAGCCGCGGUAAUACGUAGGGUGCAAGCGUUAAUCGGAAUUACUGGGCGUAAAGCGUGCGCAGGCGGUUUUGUAAGUCAGAUGUGAAAUCCCCGGGCUUAACCUGGGAACUGCGUUUGAAACUACAAAGCUAG